GAUCCUGGCUCAGGACGAACGCUGGCGGCGCGCCUAACACAUGCAAGUCGAACGAGAGAGAGGGAGCUUGCUUCCUCAAUCGAGUGGCGAACGGGUGAGUAACGCGUGAGGAACCUGCCUCAAAGAGAGGGACAACAGUUGGAAACGACUGCUAAUACCGCAUAAGCCCACAGCUCGGCAUCGAGCAGAGGGAAAAGGAGCAAUCCGCUUUGAGAUGGCCUCGCGUCCGA
RNAcentral lists this ribosomal RNA (230 nucleotides) under uncultured bacterium. RNAcentral's name for it is "partial 16S ribosomal RNA". It matches the Rfam family "Bacterial small subunit ribosomal RNA", at positions 15 to 240 of the family's 1533-position model. The record is from RNAcentral.